This 1353-nucleotide long non-coding RNA is filed under the name Sparus aurata (gilthead seabream). RNAcentral describes it as "lncRNA (ENSSAUG00010004179.1)". Lineage: Eukaryota; Metazoa; Chordata; Actinopteri; Spariformes; Sparidae. The record is from RNAcentral.
CCAUUGACCAUCGACCACACCAGCACCAGACUCCCUUAACAAAUGUGUCAGUUUAGUGAGUUGUUGAGUUGGAGACACUUUAUAAACUCUGUGAAACUCUGUCUCUGACUCAUUCUGCAUUAUUUGGACCUUCUUGUUCAUUCAGCAAAUGUUCUACAUGAACUUCUCUCUGUCUGUGAGUAGAAACAUGGAGUCUGUUCUCUGGUACUGAUGGUGACUCAGUCUGAACAUGAAAGCAGGUUCUGACUCGUCCACAGUGCAGACGUACUGUAAACACUCUGAUAGCAGCUUCCUGGUGUGACAGACGAUCCCUGGGAGCUGAUUGGCUGGUCUGAAGAUGUGGACGAAUAUGAUUAGAUUCAGUUUUCUGGACUGGAACAUAGACAUGAAAGAUGAUUUCAUCGUGUCAGAAUCUGAUCCUGAUCCUGCAGAACUCGUUAUCUCGGUGCUGAAGACUUCAGAUGAUCUUCCUUAGAAAUAAAAUUCAUAAAACAUUUGGCUCUUUUUUCCUUUUUAAUGUUUUUCUACAUUAAUCUUUGUUUGAUCAUCUGAGUGAUCAGUAGAACAUUUAUCAGCCGACAUGUCGAUGAGAGUUUGAUAUAAUCAAAAACUAAUCAGACGUGAUGAAUCAUGAACCUUCUAACAUUUAAAUGUUGAUGAGCUCCUGAUCAUGUUGAAGAUUUUAGACUGAAUGAAUUUCAGACUCAAAUUAGAAAACUGUAAUCAAAGCUGAUGUGUUUGUAUAUGAGCUGGUGUGUGCAGAGAGGCUUUUUAUCUGCUCAUUCAUUUUCUUCUCAGUUUGGUGUAAAUUAUUUCCUCUGCUGACUUGAGAACUGCGGAAAAAAAUGUUUCGGAGUGAAACUCUCGCCGGAAAGCAACCGAGUCUUCAUUUGAGACUGAAUAUGAGUCAAACCUUCGUGUAAAAGCAUAAUUACGCUCUACUACUAACGGCUGCGACACACAGGUGGACGGGUUGGACCGUCCAGCCCCGCCCACAUCGGGUCCAGCCCCGCCCAAAUCGGGUCCAGCCACGCCCACAUCGGGUCGAGCCCCGCCCACAUCCAGUACCUUGUGCUUCGUUCAGGACAGUGGGGAUUUCAGACUUCUAUGAAACUUGCUGCAUUUACGACACUUGUGAACUGUAGGACUUUGUAAUUUUCUUUUUAACGUACAUAAAUGUUAUCAACUAUUAAACUAAAUGGAAAAUCUGUAAUCCAAAAAAAGACAAAUGCAUUUAUAUUUUGUAAUAAACAUAGGCCUGCCUCUCUUCUUGGGUCAUUUGGCAUCUUCAUGGUAUGAAAUGGCAACAGAAUUUAAAGGCCUGCUGCAUUAUCUGUCAUUUUAACACAGCAU